ACGGGGCCCGCACAAGCGGAGGAGCAUGUGGUUUAAUUCGAUGAUACGCGAGGAACCUUACCGUGGGCUCGAACGUAAGAUGACUGUAGGUGAAAGCUUACAUCUCUUCGGAGCUAUUUUACGAGGUGCUGCAUGGUUGUCGUCAGCUCGUGCCGUGAGGUGUCGGGUUAAGUCCCAUAACGAGCGCAACCCCUACCUUUAGUUGCCAUCAGGUAAUGCUGGGGACUCUAAAGGAACUGCCUACGCAAGUAGUGAGGAAGGCGGGGAUGACGUCAAAUCAGCACGGCCCUUACGGCCUGGGCUACACACGUGCUACAAUGGUCGGUACAAAGGGUUGCCAAGCCGCGAGGUGGAGCUAAUCCCAUAAAACCGAUCGUAGUCCGGAUCGCAGUCUGCAACUCGACUGCGUGAAGUCGGAAUCGCUAGUAAUCGUGGAUCAGCCAAGCCGCGGUGAAUACGUUCCCGGGCCUU
Molecule: ribosomal RNA, 471 nt
Filed under: uncultured Sphingobacteriales bacterium
Lineage: Bacteria; Pseudomonadati; Bacteroidota; Sphingobacteriia; Sphingobacteriales
Description: bacterial SSU rRNA
Rfam family: Bacterial small subunit ribosomal RNA
Source: RNAcentral